CAUGUGGUUUAAUUCGAUGCAACGCGAAGAACCUUACCUGGUCUUGACAUCCACAGAAGAAUCCAGAGAUGGAUUGGUGCCUUCGGGAACUGUGAGACAGGUGCUGCAUGGCUGUCGUCAGCUCGUGUUGUGAAAUGUUGGGUUAAGUCCCGCAACGAGCGCAACCCUUAUCCUUUGUUGCCAGCGAUUAGGUCGGGAACUCAAAGGAGACUGCCAGUGAUAAACUGGAGGAAGGUGGGGAUGACGUCAAGUCAUCAUGGCCCUUACGACCAGGGCUACACACGUGCUACAAUGGCGCAUACAAAGAGAAGCGACCUCGCGAGAGCAAGCGGACCUCAUAAAGUGCGUCGUAGUCCGGAUUGGAGUCUGCAACUCGACUCCAUGAAGUCGGAAUCGCUAGUAAUCGUGGAUCAGAAUGCCACGGUGAAUACGUUCCCGGGCCUUGUACACACCGCCCGUCACACCAUGGGAGUGGGUUGCAAAAGAAGUAGGUAGCUUAACCUUCGGGAGGGCGCUUACCACUUUGUGAUUCAUGACUGGGGUGAAGUCGUAACAAGGUAACCGUAGGGGAACCUGCGGUUGGA
RNAcentral lists this ribosomal RNA (584 nucleotides) under Salmonella enterica subsp. enterica serovar Typhimurium. RNAcentral describes it as "bacterial SSU rRNA". It matches the Rfam family "Bacterial small subunit ribosomal RNA", at positions 938 to 1522 of the family's 1533-position model. Lineage: Bacteria; Pseudomonadati; Pseudomonadota; Gammaproteobacteria; Enterobacterales; Enterobacteriaceae. The record is from RNAcentral.